GCUUAGGAAUCUGCCCGGUAGUGGGGGAUAGCCCGGGGAAACCCGGAUUAAUACCGCAUACGUCCUACGGGAGAAAGCAGGGGAUCUUCGGACCUUGCGCUAUUGGAUGAGCCUAAGUCGGAUUAGCUAGUUGGUGGGGUAAAGGCCUACCAAGGCGACGAUCCGUAGCUGGUCUGAGAGGAUGAUCAGCCACAUCGGGACUGAGACACGGCCCGAACUCCUACGGGAGGCAGCAGUGGGGAAUAUUGGACAAUGGGGGCAACCCUGAUCCAGCCAUGCCGCGUGUGUGAAGAAGGCUUUCGGGUUGUAAAGCACUUUCAGCGAGGAGGAAGGCCUUAAAGUUAAUACCUUUGAGGAUUGACGUUACUCGCAGAAGAAGCACCGGCUAUCUCCGUGCCAGCAGCCGCGGUAAUACGGAGGGUGCAAGCGUUAAUCGGAAUUACUGGGCGUAAAGCGCGCGUAGGUGGUUAGGUAAGCGAGAUGUGAAAGCCUCGGGCUUAACCUGGGAACGGCAUUUCGAACUGUCUGACUAGAGUGUGGUAGAGGGUAGUGGAAUUUCCUGUGUAGCGGUGAAAUGCGUAGAUAUAGGAAGGAACACCAGUGGCGAAGGCGGCUACCUGUACCUACACUGACACUGAGGUGCGAAAGCGUGGAGAGCAAACAGGAUUAGAUACCCUGGUAGUCGACGCC
RNAcentral lists this ribosomal RNA (690 nucleotides) under Marinobacter alkaliphilus. RNAcentral describes it as "bacterial SSU rRNA". It matches the Rfam family "Bacterial small subunit ribosomal RNA", at positions 115 to 801 of the family's 1533-position model. Lineage: Bacteria; Pseudomonadati; Pseudomonadota; Gammaproteobacteria; Pseudomonadales; Marinobacteraceae. The record is from RNAcentral.